Long non-coding RNA from Carassius auratus (goldfish), 692 nucleotides. RefSeq lists it as uncharacterized. The record is from RefSeq and is a predicted model, not a curated record. Lineage: Eukaryota; Metazoa; Chordata; Actinopteri; Cypriniformes; Cyprinidae. The transcript is spliced from 3 exons.
UUUUAUACAGUCUAUGGGCAGCUGAAGAGACUGGCUCAUUUUCAAAUAAUGUUACCGUUAACUUGUUUAGACAACGGUCACGGUAAAUUAAUGUUAAAGCCUUUCGUGUCCAGCAGUUUCUCGGAGGGAAAAUGUAAAAGCGGUUUAUUAAAGAGAAGUCCUGACUCCUUUAUCGUCGUGUUUUUCACUCUUUUACAGGCUGCCAGAAAGAAUCCGUCUCUAUAGUGAGUGAUUAUUGAAUGAGGCUGUACAUUAUAAAUGUAAUGUUUUAACUCGAGAUGUUUGUUUGUGUGAAUGCUGUGUGUGCGGUGAGUUCUGCGCGAGCGGGGAGCAGAGUUGCCAUGGAAACGGGGCAUCAACACAAAAACCGUUACUGGCAAGCAGUAACGUUAAUCUCCGUCUCUCGCUGCGGUUUACGCAGUUUUAGAAAUGGUUUAGUGUCUUCGAAAAAGUCUGUUAGCAUCUAUCUUAGCAGUUUUCAGAAAAGGCUGAUUUACUGAAUCGAUGACGUCACUUACACUGAGAGUGUAACGUUAAUCGGCUGAAAACAAGUUCACAUGAGUUUUGAUAUUUCAUGAUAAACAGAUAUUAAUACAAAUUGUUCUGUGAUUUCAGGAGGACAGAAAGAAACUAUACAGAACAAAGUGAAACUCCAAGAUUUUUGAAAAGAAAAUUGGUGAAAUAUAUUCUGA